RNAcentral lists this ribosomal RNA (450 nucleotides) under uncultured bacterium. Its description in RNAcentral is "bacterial SSU rRNA". It matches the Rfam family "Bacterial small subunit ribosomal RNA", at positions 354 to 796 of the family's 1533-position model. The record is from RNAcentral.
GUGGGGAAUAUUGGACAAUGGGCGAAAGCCUGAUCCAGCCAUGCCGCGUGUGUGAAGAAGGUCUUCGGAUUGUAAAGCACUUUAAGUUGGGAGGAAGGGCAGUAAGUUAAUACCUUGCUGUUUUGACGUUACCGACAGAAUAAGCACCGGCUAACUUCGUGCCAGCAGCCGCGGUAAUACGAAGGGUGCAAGCGUUAAUCGGAAUUACUGGGCGUAAAGCGCGCGUAGGUGGUUUUGUAAGUUGGAGGUGAAAUCCCCGGGCUCAACCUGGGAACUGCCUCCAAAACUGCAUGACUAGAGUACGGUAGAGGGUAGUGGAAUUUCCUGUGUAGCGGUGAAAUGCGUAGAUAUAGGAAGGAACACCAGUGGCGAAGGCGACUACCUGGACUGAUACUGACACUGAGGUGCGAAAGCGUGGGGAUCAAACAGGAUUAGAAACCCGAGUAGUCC